UGGGGGUAAGCUUUGUAGAAGUGUUUAAUUUUUGCUUAAAUGAAAUAGCGUUUUGUUAUACCUUUAG
Molecule: transfer RNA, 67 nt
Filed under: Botrylloides giganteus
Lineage: Eukaryota; Metazoa; Chordata; Ascidiacea; Stolidobranchia; Styelidae
Description: transfer RNA-Lys
Source: RNAcentral